CUGUUGUUGCUGUGUUCCCACAGCGUGUUGUGUUUGGGGGAAGCUCUGAAGCGGAGACUCAGUCUGAGGUUAAAGAGCUGUCCAGUCUCUGCUCCAGUCUUCAUGAACUGCCAGCAAAAGUCAACAGAGGCAAAAAAAAGGGAAACACUUCUGAUGUCAGGUGAGUUGAUUUGAACCUACUUUCAUCUCUCUACAUGAUUAGUUAUUAAAGUUAUAUGUAUGUUAUGCUUUUUUUAGUGUUUGCUUCUAAAAAUGACAACAUACAGCAAAGUUCUCUCAGUGACAGUAAAU
Long non-coding RNA from Pygocentrus nattereri (red-bellied piranha), 291 nucleotides. The record is from Ensembl. Lineage: Eukaryota; Metazoa; Chordata; Actinopteri; Characiformes; Serrasalmidae.